Molecule: long non-coding RNA, 303 nt
Organism: Microtus ochrogaster (prairie vole)
Lineage: Eukaryota; Metazoa; Chordata; Mammalia; Rodentia; Cricetidae
Exons: 3
Source: RefSeq, a predicted model, not a curated record
AGUAGUGAAGCGGAGCAGUGAAGCAGAGCAGUGAAGCGGAGCAGUUGGCUGAAGGAGAUCUGAGUUGUGAAUGUGAUCACAUUUUGUGACGAAAAUAUACAGUUAUGUUUCCCCAUGCAAGAAGGGAUCCGGAAGAGCCCCAAGGGCCUGAAAGCUCACAUGCGGUGGAAGAGCACAUUGUCAUUUAUGACUCAGAUGAUGAACCGGAUUUCUGUGUUUCAAUUCCGAGUGAUACUCAAGUGGAACAGAGUUCAUCAAGUGAUUCACCUGGAAGGAGAAGUCCCAUAGAACUGUUUGUACAUA